Molecule: small nuclear RNA, 98 nt
Filed under: Coturnix japonica (Japanese quail)
Lineage: Eukaryota; Metazoa; Chordata; Aves; Galliformes; Phasianidae
Source: RNAcentral
GUGCUCCUCCAGUAGCAUAUAUGCUGAAACUGGAAUGAUACAGAGAUUAGCACAGCCCCUGUGCAAGGAUGAUACAGAAAUUCAUGAAAUUCUGGUUU